GCAAUACUAUAUUGUACUAUAUUUAAAUAAUUUAAAAAUAUCCUAGUUAAAUAUUUUAUCGUUUUUUUACUAUUUGUUUCUUAUCUGCAAUUUUACUUUAUAAUUAGGCAUAUUUACUUUCAUUUGAAAAAUACAUUUACUGGUCACCACUCCUUCAGGGAAAAUUUAUGUAACACUACGUACAUCUGCAGAUUCCAUUAGAUUUUUUCCAUUUCAAAUAGAUUUAGGUCUAAAGAAUUCUUGCCACUGAAUAAUUGGAUUGAAAUUUCACGUUAAUUGUACUCCUAUGUUCAUCAUGAUUAUACUUGUUAUUACAAUGUAAAUUAUUGUUUACCAGCCGUUAAUUCUAAAAACUGCCACUAGAGCGCCGCUACUACAGCGCACCAAACGGGUUUCUAUGAGCCUAUUAUUUGUGUUAGUUCGAUUGUCAUUUCUACUAUUUUCUAUGAGUUUGUUAGUUUGGCUCCCAUCAAAAACUUUGCCAAGAUUAACUAUUUCAGCAAAACUUUUGCCAAAAGUGUUAAAUGUUUUGUUUGGUUGUUCUUUUGUUUUAUUUUCAGCUCUAAUUGUCUUUAUAAUUCCGCAUAUUUUAUUGGAAGCUGAAUGGAUUUGUAAUGUGAGGUCCCAGAAAAACCUCCAUAAAUUAAGUGUAUAAAAGAGAAGAGAUUAGAAAAAUAAGAAAGUUUA
RNAcentral lists this long non-coding RNA (687 nucleotides) under Androctonus crassicauda. Lineage: Eukaryota; Metazoa; Arthropoda; Arachnida; Scorpiones; Buthidae. The record is from RNAcentral.